GGUCCCCAGUUAAUAGGUUCUUCCGUCCACCCUAUGACGUCACCAUCACUCGAUCAUCCCGGUACCUGUUUGAUGUAAUCAUUAUUAAUGCACACAUUAUCCAAUUUAGGUUAUUUUCAAUUGAUAUCCAAUCACGUCGAGGAAUGAAAAACUACCACAAAUCCACGAAGGGAAUGUCGAUAAGAAGAACGUGCACCUGCCAAAAUUUCUAAUUGCACAUUUAACCGACCUUCUUGCUAUUAAGUAACAGUUUCCACCCAUAAUGAUUUCCCCAUAGACGACCCGAUUGUGAAAAAAGAAGAAAAUGAAAGCGAAGAUUUAAUGAAAACAAAUGUAAGCAAUUCCUCCACGACUUGACCCAAUUGAUGGUGGCGAAAUUCGGCAGUUGCAUGCCAAUCCGCAAGAGGAGCCAUUCGAUUUCUGAAGAUUGACAACUUUAUUGAAAGCUUGACGUUCUGCUGAGCUUCUCGUCGACCGUACUGGAAUCUUAGACUUUAACUUAUUGUCCGCCAAGCUCUGCUGUAAUUCACUGGUGACGUUUGGUCUGUUGUCGGAGACGAUUUGCUUGGAAGUUACGACUCUCACGGGAAUCUUCGAGGCCACAACAUUUGCUGGUGGCAAAACAGUCUUCACUGAUGGACGAGAUUCGGACGAGACAUCUGUGCUGAUGGAAUCUUCUGUUUGCGGAAAUGUUCAGUCUCGGCGGCAAAAGGACCAUUUGACACCCUCACCGGGAUUUUGGAUGCUGAGCAUCCCAGUCUUGAUGAUGAGACGGGUCGACCGUAAGUUGGUGAAACGGAAAGACUCCGCCCGUUGGUAACAGACUGGAUUUCGGAUGCAUUUGUCGGUUGCUCGGCUGCAGAACGAUUGGAAGAUGUCGCUGGUGGUAGGGGCUCUGCUAUCGGGAAGCAAGAAUUCUGUUGGAAAGUCAUUCUUGCCGUUUCUGCUGGAGGAUUUCCGAAGUCGCUAGAAGCUUGCUGGAUCACUGAUGGCUUGGAGAUUUCCAUUUUGCUUUCGGCCAACAGUCGAAGGAUUUCCGUGUUCUUGUCUUCAAAUCCAGUCAGGUUAUUUUCCAAUACGUUGUCAAUCGAAUCUGUGGCGGUUUUGUCAGACGACAGAAACGAUAUAACCUCUAGGAGACGGUCUUUAUUAGCUUCAAUAACACGGCUCGACUUUGAUUUCUUUCCGACUAAACGAAGAUUUGCUUGUUCAGGGAUUCGUUGUUUUGCUCCCAUUUCACGUCUAGAGGCUGCCCCCUCGUCUUGUUGGUUUUCGAGCUGACGAAUCUUGUUGUUGGCGAGAGCGAGUUCGAAUUCUAAUUUCGCAACUUGGACCUUCAGGAUCUUAUUAUCGGCCGCAACAUUUCUAUUUUCAGCGAGCUUUCUGAUCAAGGUUUCGGUGAUUUUGCAAUGUUUCCGCCGGUUUCCGCUUUGAAAAAGCAAUAGAGCGCCAACGGCGGUCAAAUUGCAAACUUCAACAUUUUCAAACAAGUUCUACUU
This 1499-nucleotide long non-coding RNA is filed under the name Daphnia pulicaria. RNAcentral describes it as "uncharacterized LOC124315793, transcript variant X1". Lineage: Eukaryota; Metazoa; Arthropoda; Branchiopoda; Diplostraca; Daphniidae. The record is from RNAcentral.